This 484-nucleotide ribosomal RNA is filed under the name uncultured bacterium. Its description in RNAcentral is "partial 16S ribosomal RNA". It matches the Rfam family "Bacterial small subunit ribosomal RNA", at positions 28 to 523 of the family's 1533-position model. The record is from RNAcentral.
GAUUAACGCUGGCGGCGUGCCUAAGACAUGCAAGUCGAAUGGGUUUAGACCCAUGGCGAACGGGUGAGUAAUGCAUCGGAACGUGCCCAGUCGUGGGGGAUAACGCAGCGAAAGCUGUGCUAAUACCGCAUACGAUCUGUGGAUGAAAGCGGGGGACCUUCGGGCCUCGCGCGAUUGGAGCGGCCGAUGUCAGAUUAGGUAGUUGGUGGGGUAAAGGCUCACCAAGCCGACGAUCUGUAGCUGGUCUGAGAGGACGACCAGCCACACUGGGACUGAGACACGGCCCAGACUCCUACGGGAGGCAGCAGUGGGGAAUUUUGGACAAUGGGCGCAAGCCUGAUCCAGCAAUGCCGCGUGCAGGAAGAAGGCCUUCGGGUUGUAAACUGCCUUUGUACGGAGCGAAAAGGCUCCCUCUAAUACAGGGGGCUCAUGACGGUACCGUAAGAAUAAGCACCGGCUAACUACGUGCCAGCCGCCGCCGUAA